GGCGGAGGUACCCAAGUG
Molecule: transfer RNA, 18 nt
Filed under: Alshehbazia hauthalii
Lineage: Eukaryota; Viridiplantae; Streptophyta; Magnoliopsida; Brassicales; Brassicaceae
Description: partial tRNA-His
Source: RNAcentral